AACGAACGCUGGCGGCAUGCCUAACACAUGCAAGUCGAACGAGACCUUCGGGUCUAGUGGCGCACGGGUGCGUAACGCGUGGGAAUCUGCCCUUGGGUUCGGAAUAACAGUUAGAAAUGACUGCUAAUACCGGAUAAUGUCUUCGGACCAAAGAUUUAUCGCCCAGGGAUGAGCCCGCGUAGGAUUAGCUAGUUGGUGAGGUAAAGGCUCACCAAGGCGACGAUCCUUAGCUGGUCUGAGAGGAUGAUCAGCCACACUGGGACUGAGACACGGCCCAGACUCCUACGGGAGGCAGCAGUGGGAAUAUUGGACAAUGGGCGAAAGCCUGAUCCGAGCAAUGCCGCGUGAGUGAUGAA
This 356-nucleotide ribosomal RNA is filed under the name uncultured bacterium. Its description in RNAcentral is "bacterial SSU rRNA". It matches the Rfam family "Bacterial small subunit ribosomal RNA", at positions 29 to 412 of the family's 1533-position model. The record is from RNAcentral.